This 503-nucleotide ribosomal RNA is filed under the name uncultured bacterium. Its description in RNAcentral is "partial 16S ribosomal RNA". It matches the Rfam family "Bacterial small subunit ribosomal RNA", at positions 30 to 523 of the family's 1533-position model. The record is from RNAcentral.
AUUGAACGCUGGCGGCAGGCUUAACACAUGCAAGUCGAGCGGAGUGAUGGUGCUUGCACUAUCACUUAGCGGCGGACGGGUGAGUAAUGCUUAGGAAUCUGCCUAUUAGUGGGGGACAACAUCUCGAAGGGGAUGCUAAUACCGCAUACGUCCUACGGGAGAAAGCAGGGGAUCACUUGUGACCUUGCGCUAAUAGAUGAGCCUAAGUCGGAUUAGCUAGUUGGUGGGGUAAAGGCCUACCAAGGCGACGAUCUGUAGCGGGUCUGAGAGGAUGAUCCGCCACACUGGGACUGAGACACGGCCCAGACUCCUACGGGAGGCAGCAGUGGGGAAUAUUGGACAAUGGGGGAAACCCUGAUCCAGCCAUGCCGCGUGUGUGAAGAAGGCCUUAUGGUUGUAAAGCACUUUAAGCGAGGAGGAGGCUCUUCUGGUUAAUACCCAGGAUGAGUGGACGUUACUCGCAGAAUAAGCACCGGCUAACUCUGUGCCAGCCGCCGCGGUAA